Molecule: unclassified non-coding RNA, 520 nt
Filed under: uncultured Glomus
Lineage: Eukaryota; Fungi; Glomeromycota; Glomeromycetes; Glomerales; Glomeraceae
Description: SSU rRNA
Rfam family: Eukaryotic small subunit ribosomal RNA
Source: RNAcentral
AGCAGCCGCGGUAAUUCCAGCUCCAAUAGCGUAUAUUAAAGUUGUUGCAGUUAAAAAGCUCGUAGUUGAAUUUCGGGGUUAGUAGGUUGGUCAUGCCUCUGGUAUGUACUGGUCUCACUGAUUCCUCCUUCCUGAUGAGCCGUAAUGCCAUUAAUUUGGUGUUGCGGGGAAUCUGGACUGUUACUUUGAAAAAAUUAGAGUGUUUAAAGCAAGCUAACGCUUGAAUACAUUAGCAUGGAAUAAUGAAAUAGGACGUUCGAUCCUAUUUUGUUGGUUUCUAGGAUUGACGUAAUGAUUAAUAGGGAUAGUUGGGGGCAUUAGUAUUCAAUUGUCAGAGGUGAAAUUCUUGGAUUUAUUGAAGACUAACUACUGCGAAAGCAUUUGCCAAGGAUGUUUUCAUUAAUCAAGAACGAAAGUUAGGGGAUCGAAGACGAUCAGAUACCGUCGUAGUCUUAACCAUAAACUAUGCCGACCAGGGAUCGGAUGAUGUUAAUUUUUUCAAUGACUCAUUCGGCGCCUU